Molecule: transfer-messenger RNA, 370 nt
Filed under: Streptacidiphilus pinicola
Lineage: Bacteria; Bacillati; Actinomycetota; Actinomycetes; Kitasatosporales; Streptomycetaceae
Description: Standard tmRNA
Rfam family: transfer-messenger RNA
About the family: Bacterial tmRNA, also known as 10Sa RNA or SsrA, is named for its dual tRNA and mRNA-like properties.
Source: Rfam by way of RNAcentral
GGGGGUGAUCGGUUUCGACUGGGGAUGUCGAGGCAGAGGAAGCGAGCCGAGGAACGCGGCAAUGAUCUCGUUAACCAUGUGUCGCAAAAAAAUAAUCGCCAAUUCUAAGCGCGAGUCCUUCGCGCUCGCCGUCUGAGCGAGCCUCGAAGGUGUCAGACCGGGCGCGUCCCCGUCCCGGAUCCUGGCAUAAUUUAGGGGACUCCACCGUUCGACCCGGUCACGGGGUCGUGCGGAAAACCAAACAGUGACUGGGCCCGUCGAUAGCUUGUCUGCGUGACUGCCGGGGCCGAGAAAAGCACAGCAGACUGCGCUCGGAGAAGCUCUGGUUCCGCACCACAGGACGCGGGUUCGAUUCCCGCCACCUCCACCA